Molecule: long non-coding RNA, 519 nt
Organism: Hirundo rustica (Barn swallow)
Lineage: Eukaryota; Metazoa; Chordata; Aves; Passeriformes; Hirundinidae
Exons: 4
Source: RefSeq, a predicted model, not a curated record
UGAGUCAGGGUGAUAAGACUGCACCUAGUAAUCAGAGCUGAAUUGCACUACACCCUGUAAAGAAAAAGGGAGAGUCAGAAGCUACUCUAGUAAACUUCUCAGGAACUCCCAGAGACUCUGGCCGUUUGUCAACCACAAAUGUGCGUCUUUGCUUCAAAAUGGGUGAUUCAGACUGACCUCAGCAUGUGCUUGCCUGCAUGGGGGAAGUAGAGGUUUGGGGCUCUGAAGAGCCCAUGGUUAUAACAAGGACUACAGUGCUGUGCUUUCAGAACCUGAGUUGUUUAAUUCCUGGUACUGAGCUGGAGAAUGUGCAUCUAUAUACAUAUUUGAAAUUUUCAGUACAAAAAAUUACAUGGACCCUAGAACGCAUCUAAUUCAUCACUGGCAUUCCAGAUCUUUUCACGUCAGCAAAGGUCCUGCCAGGAGCCUGCUCCAGUGCAGGCUUCACACAGAGUCACAUCCUCUUUCAGGCAUCCACCUGCUCCUGUGGGGCUUCUCCAUGGGCUGCAGGUGGAUCUC